GACGAACGCUGGCGGCGUGCUUAACACAUGCAAGUCGAACGGAAAGGCCCUGCUUUUGUUGGGUGCUCGAGUGGCGAACGGGUGAGUAACACGUGAGUAACCUGCCCUUGACUUUGGGAUAACUUCAGGAAACUGGGGCUAAUACCGGAUAGGAGCUCCUGCUGCAUGGUGGUGGUUGGAAAGUUUCGGCGGUUGGGGAUGGACUCGCGGCUUAUCAGCUUGUCGGUGGGGUAGUGGCUUACCAAGGCUUUGACGGGUAGCCGGCCUGAGAGGGUGACCGGCCACAUUGGGACUGAGAUACGGCCCAGACUCCUACGGGAGGCAGCAGUGGGGAAUAUUGCAAAAUGGGCGGAAGCCUGAUGCAGCAACGCCGCGUGCGGGAUGACGGUCUUCGGGUUGUAACCCGCGUUCGCCUGUGACGAAGCGUGAGUGACGGUAAUGGGUAAAGAAGCACCGGCUAACUACGUG
This 468-nucleotide ribosomal RNA is filed under the name uncultured bacterium. RNAcentral's name for it is "partial 16S ribosomal RNA". It matches the Rfam family "Bacterial small subunit ribosomal RNA", at positions 28 to 507 of the family's 1533-position model. The record is from RNAcentral.